RNAcentral lists this ribosomal RNA (524 nucleotides) under uncultured Alphaproteobacteria bacterium. Its description in RNAcentral is "bacterial SSU rRNA". It matches the Rfam family "Bacterial small subunit ribosomal RNA", at positions 38 to 602 of the family's 1533-position model. The record is from RNAcentral. Lineage: Bacteria; Pseudomonadati; Pseudomonadota; Alphaproteobacteria.
GGCGGCAUGCUUAACACAUGCAAGUCGCACGGCCGGGGGUAACUCCGGCAGUGGCGGACGGGUGAGUAACGCGUAGGUAUCUAUCCUUGGGUGGGGGACAACCGUGGGAAACUACGGCUAAUACCGCAUAAUAACCGAGGUUUAAAGGCGCAAGUCGCCUGAGGAGGAGCCUGCGUACGAUUAGCUUGUUGGUGGGGUAAAGGCCUACCAAGGCGACGAUCGUUAGCUGGUCUGAGAGGAUGAUCAGCCACACUGGGACUGAGACACGGCCCAGACUCCUACGGGAGGCAGCAGUGGGGAAUAUUGGACAAUGGGCGCAAGCCUGAUCCAGCAAUGCCGCGUGUGUGAAGAAGGUCUUCGGAUUGUAAAGCACUUUCGACGGGGACGAUGAUGACGGUACCCGUAGAAGAAGCCCCGGCUAACUUCGUGCCAGCAGCCGCGGUAAUACGAAGGGGGCUAGCGUNGCUCGGAAUGACUGGGCGUAAAGGGCGCGUANGCGGAUGGUACAGUCAGAUGUGAAAUUC